This 301-nucleotide ribosomal RNA is filed under the name uncultured bacterium. Its description in RNAcentral is "partial 16S ribosomal RNA". It matches the Rfam family "Bacterial small subunit ribosomal RNA", at positions 509 to 807 of the family's 1533-position model. The record is from RNAcentral.
CAGUAGCCGCGGUAAUACGAAGGGGGCUAGCGUUAUUCGGAAUUACUGGGCGUAAAGCGCACGUAGGCGGAUAUUUAAGUCAGGGGUGAAAUCCCAGAGCUCAACUCUGGAACUGCCCUUGAUACUGGGUAUCUUGAGUAUGGAAGAGGUGAGUGGAAUUCCGAGUGUAGAGGUGAAAUUCGUAGAUAUUCGGAGGAACACCAGUGGCGAAGGCGGCUCACUGGUCCAUUACUGACGCUGAGGUGCGAAAGCGUGGGGAGCAAACAGGAUUAGAUACCCCUGUAGUCCCUGUCUCUUAUAC